This 996-nucleotide ribosomal RNA is filed under the name uncultured bacterium. RNAcentral's name for it is "bacterial SSU rRNA". It matches the Rfam family "Bacterial small subunit ribosomal RNA", at positions 355 to 1375 of the family's 1533-position model. The record is from RNAcentral.
UGGGGAAUAUUGCACAAUGGGGGAAACCCUGAUGCAGCGACGCCGCGUGGAGGAAGAAGGUCUUCGGAUUGUAAACUCCUGUCGUUGGGGACGAUAAUGACGGUACCCAACAAGAAAGCCACGGCUAACUACGUGCCAGCAGCCGCGGUAAAACGUAGGUGGCAAGCGUUGUCCGGAAUUACUGGGUGUAAAGGGAGCGCAGGCGGAAGGACAAGUUGGAAGUGAAACCCACGGGCUCAACUCGUGAACUGCUUUCAAAACUGUUUUUCUUGAGUGGUGUAGAGGUAGGCGGAAUUCCCGGUGUAGCGGUGGAAUGCGUAGAUAUCGGGAGGAACACCAGUGGCGAAGGCGGCCUACUGGGCACUAACUGACGCUGAGGCUCGAAAGCAUGGGUAGCAAACAGGAUUAGAUACCCUGGUAGUCCAUGCCGUAAACGAUGAUUACUAGGUGUGGGAGGAUUGACCCCUUCCGUGCCGCAGUUAACACAAUAAGUAAUCCACCUGGGGAGUACGACCGCAAGGUUGAAACUCAAAGGAAUUGACGGGGGCCCGCACAAGCAGUGGAGUAUGUGGUUUAAUUCGAAGCAACGCGAAGAACCUUACCAGGUCUUGACAUCGGAUGCAUAGCUAAGAGAUUAGCGAAGUCCUUCGGGACACCCAGACAGGUGGUGCAUGGUUGUCGUCAGCUCGUGUCGUGAGAUGUUGGGUUAAGUCCCGCAACGAGCGCAACCCUUACUGUUAGUUACUACGCAAGAGGACUCUAGCAGGACUGCCGUUGACAAAACGGAGGAAGGUGGGGAUGACGUCAAAUCAUCAUGCCCUUUAUGACCUGGGCUACACACGUACUACAAUGGCGUUAAACAAAGAGAAGCGAAGCCGCGAGGUGGAGCAAACCUCAAAAACAACGUCCCAGUUCAGACUGCAGGCUGCAACUCGCCUGCACGAAGUCGGAAUUGCUAGUAAUCGCGGAUCAGCAUGCCGCGGUGAAUACGUUCCC